CCAGGCUGGAGGGAAUCCUUCCUUGUCCCUUUCUUCCUCAUCCCGCUGCGCUCCGCAACAGACCGAGCCUAGAUAGUUCCAUAGCACUUAUCAGACAGGGAUCUGAUCGGUCACGGCUAAAGUUCGGUUUUUGGUCUCAUCUCAGCCUCCGGUUUUGCAGAGAGACGAACGCCGUGAAUCUGAUUGCUUCAGUCACUCAUCCACUAGCUCAAGUUCAGAGUCCCAUGUGGCCGUCAGUCUCCUCCAUCUUCCCUCCGUCAGGCUUCUCACUCAUCCCUGCCUCUCGCUAUCCGCUCGCCGACCGGGUGGAAGGAGCUCGACCAGUGGGUAGAACAGUGGCGUGGACGAACUCUCGUUGCUUCGUCGGCCAUGGUGCGUGAUUUCACGCCACGUUAUGGAGGCGGCGUCACCACGACAGGAGGCUCCCUCUGCGCUAACGAGGCGAACGCUUUCACGUAACUUGCCCGGGCUUCCGUCGCCAUCAGCGGGGCGGCCGCCGGGGGUGUGGAGGAGUCCCCGACGUCUGUAAGGCCAAUCGGUCCCCUGGCAUUUCUUUUCUCCAUUUGUGCGCCUCUGGGGCUCAUGAAAGUGACGAGAUAUCCUCCCCUCCGAUCACACUUCUGCCGCCCAUUUUGCUUCGUAAGUUGCUGAAUAUCCUGCUCAAUAAACAAAAACUGGGUCCUGUACAGUCGACCGUACCUGCGCGUCUCCAGUGUUCCACCAGUGAAACGGAGACCAGUGGCGUUCGCCACCACAGCCGUAUGAGGAAAAGGCCGGAAGAGAACAGCGGCGGGGAUGGCAU
This 802-nucleotide long non-coding RNA is filed under the name Spirodela polyrhiza (greater duckweed). RNAcentral describes it as "long non-coding RNA (SPOL_LNC000369)". The record is from RNAcentral. Lineage: Eukaryota; Viridiplantae; Streptophyta; Magnoliopsida; Alismatales; Araceae.